This 255-nucleotide unclassified non-coding RNA is filed under the name Hevea brasiliensis (rubber tree). Lineage: Eukaryota; Viridiplantae; Streptophyta; Magnoliopsida; Malpighiales; Euphorbiaceae. The record is from RNAcentral.
AAAAAAGAAAAAAAAAAAGAAAAAGAAAAGAAUGACACGUACUUGCUUGUUAUAGUCUGAUCAUCAGCUUGUUCUCUGUAGAAAAUGAUCAAAAUUAAUAUAUAAUAAUAAAAUUAUUUUCUAAGAAUAAGUUUUGCCUUACUGAGUAAGUUGUAAGCUCUUCCCAUGAGGAAAUAUUAAUUAAUUAAUUAUUUAAUUAUUUACUAUUAAUUUAAUUAUUUACCUUUUAUUUUUAUUAAUUAAUUAUCUAAAUUU